This 395-nucleotide ribosomal RNA is filed under the name Suhomyces tanzawaensis. Its description in RNAcentral is "eukaryotic LSU rRNA". The stretch from base 108 to 260 matches the Rfam family "5.8S ribosomal RNA". Lineage: Eukaryota; Fungi; Ascomycota; Pichiomycetes; Serinales; Debaryomycetaceae. The record is from RNAcentral.
UGCGGAGGAUCAUUAUAGAAAAAAAUACUACCAGUAUGAUUACUUACUUUGCGGCUCGCCGCAAAGUCAAAACUACAAAAAUAAAAUGUCUACAACCAAAAAAUUAAAACUUUCAACAACGGAUCUCUUGGUUCUCGCAUCGAUGAAGAACGCAGCGAAAUGCGAUAAGUAAUAUGAAUUGCAGCCCUUGUGAAUCAUCGAAUCUUUGAACGCACAUUGCGCCUUGGGGUAUUCCCCAAGGCAUGCCUGUUUGAGCGUCAGCCCCCCUCACUCUGUGAAGUGGCUGCUCGCCAGACCAGCCGAAAAUAUUAGUUGCAUGUCUAGGACUACCCAUCAUGCUCCCUAUUUUUGACCUCAAAUCAGGUAGGACUACCCGCUGAACUUAAGCAUAUCAA